Molecule: ribosomal RNA, 281 nt
Filed under: uncultured bacterium
Lineage: Bacteria
Description: partial 16S ribosomal RNA
Rfam family: Bacterial small subunit ribosomal RNA
Source: RNAcentral
UACGGAGGGUGCGAGCGUUAAUCGGAAUUACUGGGGCGUAAAAGCGCACGCAGGCGGUUUGUUAAGCAAGAUGUGAAAGCCCCCGGGGCUCAACCUGGGGAACUGCAUUUUUGAACUGGCAGACUAGAUCUUGGAGAGGGGGGGUGGAAUUCCAGGUGUAGCGGUGAAAUGCGUAGAGAUCUGGAGGAACAUCAGUGGCGAAGGCGGCCCCCUGGCCAAAGCACUGACGCUCAUGUGCGAAAGUGUGGGUAGCGGAACAGGAUUAGAUACCCCUGUAGUCC